This 87-nucleotide transfer RNA is filed under the name Alphaproteobacteria bacterium. RNAcentral describes it as "tRNA-Leu". It matches the Rfam family "tRNA". From Rfam's summary of the family: Transfer RNA (tRNA) molecules are approximately 80 nucleotides in length. Their secondary structure includes four short double-helical elements and three loops (D, anti-codon, and T loops). Further hydrogen bonds mediate the characteristic L-shaped molecular structure. tRNAs have two regions of fundamental functional importance: the anti-codon, which is responsible for specific mRNA codon recognition, and the 3' end, to which the tRNAs corresponding amino acid is attached (by aminoacyl-tRNA synthetases). tRNAs cope with the degeneracy of the genetic code in two manners: having more than one tRNA (with a specific anti-codon) for a particular amino acid; and 'wobble' base-pairing, i.e. permitting non-standard base-pairing at the 3rd anti-codon position. The record is from RNAcentral. RNAcentral also lists the same sequence under 2 other names. Lineage: Bacteria; Pseudomonadati; Pseudomonadota; Alphaproteobacteria.
GGGGGCGUGGCGGAACCGGUAGACGCAUUGGACUUAAAAUCCAAUGGGCGUAAGCCCGUGCAGGUUCAAAUCCUGCCGCCCCCACCA